GACAGAGGGUGCGAACGUUGUUCGGAAUUACUGGGCGUAAAGCGCGUGUAGGCGGCAGCGUAAGUCGGGCGUGAAAUCCCACGGCUCAACCGUGGAAGUGCACUCGAAACUGCGCAGCUGGAGUCCUGGAGAGGAAGGUGGAAUGCUUGGUGUAGAGGUGAAAUUCGUAGAUAUCAAGCGGAACACCGGUGGCGAAGGCGGCCUUCUGGACAGUGACUGACGCUGAGACGCGAAAGCGUGGGGAGCAAACAGG
This 253-nucleotide ribosomal RNA is filed under the name uncultured bacterium. RNAcentral describes it as "partial 16S ribosomal RNA". It matches the Rfam family "Bacterial small subunit ribosomal RNA", at positions 524 to 776 of the family's 1533-position model. The record is from RNAcentral.